AGAGCGAACGCUGGCGGCAUGCUUAACACAUGCAAGUCGCACGGGCGUUGGGGCAACCUGGCGUCAGUGGCGGACGGGUGAGGAGCGCGUAGGAACCUAUCCUGUGGUGGGGGACAACCCUGGGAAACUGGGGCUAAUACCGCAUAGGGCCUGAGGGCCAAAGCCGGGGUGACCUGGCGCCAUGGGAGGGGCCUGCGUCCGAUUAGCUUGUGGUGGGUAACGCCUACAAGGCAUCGAU
RNAcentral lists this ribosomal RNA (238 nucleotides) under uncultured soil bacterium. RNAcentral's name for it is "partial 16S ribosomal RNA". It matches the Rfam family "Bacterial small subunit ribosomal RNA", at positions 26 to 280 of the family's 1533-position model. The record is from RNAcentral.